RNAcentral lists this ribosomal RNA (301 nucleotides) under uncultured bacterium. Its description in RNAcentral is "partial 16S ribosomal RNA". It matches the Rfam family "Bacterial small subunit ribosomal RNA", at positions 509 to 807 of the family's 1533-position model. The record is from RNAcentral.
CAGUAGCCGCGGGAAUACGGAGGGUGCAAGCGUUAAUCGGAAUUACUGGGCGUAAAGCGUGCGUAGGCGGUUCGUUAAGUCUGUUGUGAAAGCCCCGGGCUCAACCUGGGAAUGGCAAUGGAUACUGGCGAGCUAGAGUGUGUCAGAGGAUGGUGGAAUUCCCGGUGUAGCGGUGAAAUGCGUAGAGAUCGGGAGGAACAUCAGUGGCGAAGGCGGCCAUCUGGGACAACACUGACGCUGAGGCACGAAAGCGUGGGGAGCAAACAGGAUUAGAUACCCGCGUAGUCCCUGUCUCUUAUAC